This is a long non-coding RNA of Gopherus evgoodei (Goodes thornscrub tortoise), 192 nucleotides long. RefSeq lists it as uncharacterized. The transcript has 3 exons. Lineage: Eukaryota; Metazoa; Chordata; Testudines; Testudinidae. The record is from RefSeq and is a predicted model, not a curated record.
CUGUACUCCACUUGGCCUGAAACAAAAAUGGCCUCUUCCCUUGUGGGUUCCAGGACUAGCUGCUCCAAGAAGCAGUCAUUAAUGGUAUCUAGAAAUGUUCUCUCUGCAUCUCAUCCUAAGGUGACAUAUACCAGUCAAUAUGGGGAUAGUUGAAAUCCCCCAUUAUUAUUGGGUUUUCUUUUUAUAGCCUCU